Molecule: non-coding RNA, 178 nt
Filed under: Salimicrobium flavidum
Lineage: Bacteria; Bacillati; Bacillota; Bacilli; Caryophanales; Bacillaceae
Source: RNAcentral
AAAUCGAAUACGUCCGGUGGUCGCCUGUAGAAGGCGUGAAUAGGGAAGUCCGGUGAAAAUCCGGCGCGGUCCCGCCACUGUGUAGGGGAGCUCUAUACCGAUCCACUGUCCUCGCGACGGGAAGGGGUAGAGAGCGUGGAACCUGAGCCAGGAGACCUGCCACCGGAGCGAACACGAA